UACCAGCACCCCGAGUGGUCGGGACGUUUAUUGGGCCUAAAGCAUCCGUAGCCGGUUCUACAAGUCUUCCGUUAAAUCCACCUGCUCGACAGAUGGGCUGCGGAAGAUACUAUGGAGCUAGGAGGCGGGAGAGGCAAGCGGUACUCGAUGGGUAGGGGUAAAAUCCGUUGAUCCAUUGAAGACCACCAGUGGCGAAGGCGGCUUGCCAGAACGCGCUCGACGGUGAGGGAUGAAAGCUGGGGGAGCAAACCGG
RNAcentral lists this ribosomal RNA (253 nucleotides) under uncultured bacterium. RNAcentral's name for it is "partial 16S ribosomal RNA". It matches the Rfam family "Archaeal small subunit ribosomal RNA", at positions 474 to 727 of the family's 1478-position model. The record is from RNAcentral.